Molecule: small nucleolar RNA, 140 nt
Filed under: Fundulus heteroclitus (mummichog)
Lineage: Eukaryota; Metazoa; Chordata; Actinopteri; Cyprinodontiformes; Fundulidae
Source: RNAcentral
AACGCACUCUAUUAAAGCCGGGUACUGAUGUGAGUGCUCUGGUGUCGGAAGUGUGCAAAAGUAAAUGGAUCGGGGGUUUCGCUAACACCAGAGGACAGCUGUCCUAUGACUGGGGUAUGAGAAGCUCCCGAGCCACAGCU